Molecule: long non-coding RNA, 233 nt
Organism: Oreochromis niloticus (Nile tilapia)
Lineage: Eukaryota; Metazoa; Chordata; Actinopteri; Cichliformes; Cichlidae
Exons: 3
Source: RefSeq, a predicted model, not a curated record
CAGGUCUCUCAGCAGCUGGAGGACGAGGCAAGGCUGCUUCUGGGACCACCCACCACCUUGAUCCCACUGUCCAACGUCAGCCAAUCACAUAUGAUGUAUGUGACAGUGAAGGGAUGGGUAACAGCUAUGGAACCCUUGAAAAAAAUUAAAAAGGAGCAGAAUUUAGCAGUCCCUUUGCAGAUCAUCAAUAUCAAAGAGGAUGAGUCAGAGGUGAAGCUGGCACUCUGGGGAGA